RNAcentral lists this small RNA (166 nucleotides) under metagenome. RNAcentral describes it as "ydaO-yuaA leader element". The stretch from base 13 to 148 matches the Rfam family "c-di-AMP riboswitch aptamer (ydaO/yuaA leader)", at positions 13 to 117 of the family's 134-position model. From Rfam's summary of the family: This family represents a conserved RNA structure found upstream of the ydaO and yuaA genes in Bacillus subtilis and related genes in other bacteria. The ydaO/yuaA element is thought to act as a genetic "off" switch for the ydaO and yuaA genes in its native state. The record is from RNAcentral.
AGCCCACGUCCCCCGCACCACCCGUGGUCUGUGAGCCGGGGAACCACACUUCCCCCUGGGGUGAAUCCCCUGUGAGGCGCACUGCGCGAGCGGUGCGUGGAGCAGGGGUAGGACACGUCGUGCCGAACCCGUCAGCUCACCCGGUAGGCGUACGACACCCCGAGGA